UACGUAGGGCGCAAGCGUUGUCCGGAAUUAUUGGGCGUAAAGAGCUCGUAGGCGGCUUGUCACGUCGAUUGUGAAAGCCCGAGGCUUAACCUCGGGUCUGCAGUCGAUACGGGCUAGCUAGAGUGUGGUAGGGGAGAUCGGAAUUCCUGGUGUAGCGGUGAAAUGCGUAGAUAUCUGGAGGAACACCGGUGGCGAAGGCGGCAUUCUGGACCAAUAUUGACGCUGAGGUGCGAAAGCGUGGGGAGCAAACAGG
Molecule: ribosomal RNA, 253 nt
Filed under: uncultured bacterium
Lineage: Bacteria
Description: partial 16S ribosomal RNA
Rfam family: Bacterial small subunit ribosomal RNA
Source: RNAcentral